AGUGAACGCUGGCGGUAGGCCUAACACAUGCAAGUCGAACGGCAGCACAGUAAGAGCUUGCUCUUACGGGUGGCGAGUGGCGGACGGGUGAGGAAUACAUCGGAAUCUACUUUUUCGGGGGGGAUAACGUAGGGAAACUUACGCUAAUACCGCAUACGACCUACGGGUGAAAGCAGGGGAUCUUCGGACCUUGCGCGAUUGAAUGAGCCGAUGUCGGAUUAGCUAGUUGGCGGGGUAAAGGCCCACCAAGGCGACGAUCCGUAGCUGGUCUGAGAGGAUGAUCAGCCACACUGGAACUGAGACACGGUCCAGACUCCUACGGGAGGCAGCAGUGGGGAAUAUUCGACAAUGGGCGCAAGCCUGAUCCAGCCAUACCGCGUGGGUGAAGAAGGCCUUCGGGUUGUAAAGCCCUUUUGUUGGGAAAGAAAAGCAGCAGGUUAAUACCCCGAUGUUCUGACGGUACCCAAAGAAUAAGCACCGGCUAACUUCGUG
This 492-nucleotide ribosomal RNA is filed under the name uncultured bacterium. RNAcentral describes it as "partial 16S ribosomal RNA". It matches the Rfam family "Bacterial small subunit ribosomal RNA", at positions 29 to 507 of the family's 1533-position model. The record is from RNAcentral.